AACGUAGGAGACAAACGUUAUCCGGAGUUACUGGGCGUAAAGGGCGUGUAGGUGGUAGUGUAAGUCUGGCGUGAAAUUUUUCGGCUUAACCGGGAAAGGUCGUCGGAUACUGCACAACUAGAGGACGGUAGAGGCGUGUGGAAUUCCGGGUGUAGUGGUGAAAUGCGUAGAGAUCCGGAGGAACACCAGUGGCGAAGGCGACACGCUGGGCCGUACCUGACACUGAUGCGCGAAAGCCAGGGGAGCGAACGGG
This 253-nucleotide ribosomal RNA is filed under the name uncultured bacterium. RNAcentral describes it as "partial 16S ribosomal RNA". It matches the Rfam family "Bacterial small subunit ribosomal RNA", at positions 524 to 776 of the family's 1533-position model. The record is from RNAcentral.